Molecule: RNase P RNA, 406 nt
Filed under: Candidatus Peregrinibacteria bacterium RIFOXYB2_FULL_32_7
Lineage: Bacteria; Candidatus Peregrinibacteriota
Description: RNase P RNA component class A
Rfam family: Bacterial RNase P class A
About the family: Ribonuclease P (RNase P) is a ubiquitous endoribonuclease, found in archaea, bacteria and eukarya as well as chloroplasts and mitochondria. Its best characterised activity is the generation of mature 5'-ends of tRNAs by cleaving the 5'-leader elements of precursor-tRNAs. Cellular RNase Ps are ribonucleoproteins.
Source: RNAcentral
CUUCUUUAUUUAAAUGAUCGCUUUGCCAAUUUAUUUGGCAGGGAGGAAAGUCCGAGCAGCUUUUAAGAUGCUGUAGUGGGUAACGCCCAUCCUUCUAAGCCUAAAACUUAGAAUGAGGACCAGUGCCACAGAGACUAUACUAGUCCUUCGAAGCUUUAUGCGUAGAAGGACAAAAGGUGAAAAGCCCGGCUUUAAGCAGGGACAUUUUAAAGCAAUUUGUUUUAGAAUUGUCGGUAAACUCUACAGGCUGCAAGGUGGAAUGGGAAGAUUUGAAUAUCGGGGCAAAAUCUUAGACCCGCAAACUUCUCCACCGCUAAAAUUUCAUAGCAAUAUGAAAUUUAGAUAGAUGAUCAUAUUAGGGCUCGUAAAUAUCAUACAGAACUCGGCUUAUAAAUAAGGAAGGGUU